Molecule: ribosomal RNA, 485 nt
Filed under: uncultured bacterium
Lineage: Bacteria
Description: partial 16S ribosomal RNA
Rfam family: Bacterial small subunit ribosomal RNA
Source: RNAcentral
GAUGAACGCUGGCGGCGUGCUUAACACAUGCCAGUCGAACGGGAUCCCAGGGGUGCUUGCCCUUUUUGGUGAGAGUGGCGAACGGGUGAGUAACACGUGUGUAACCUUUCCUUUUCUUUGGUAUAAACAUUCGAAAGGGUGUUUAAUACCUUAUGUUCUUUCUUCCUCGCAUGGGGUGGUUGGGUAAGGCUUUGGCCGGAUUUGGGUGGGCUCGCGGUCUAUCGGCUUGUUGGUGGGGUGAUGGCUUACCAAGGCUUUGACGGCUAGCCGGCCUCAGAGGGUGGUCGGUUGCAUUGGGACUGAGAUACGGCCCAGACUCCUGCGGGAGGCAGCAGUGGGGGAUAUUGCACAAUGGGCGAAAGCCUGAUGCAGCGACGCCGCGUGGGGGAUUAAGGCCUGUGGGUUGUAAACUUCUUUUGCUCUGAACACGGGAUGCCAGUGGGUGUGUUGAGUGUAGGGGUUGAUAAGCGCCGGCUAACUACGUG